GAUCCUGGCUCAGGACGAACGCUGGCGGCGUGCCUAACACAUGCAAGUCGAACGGAGAGAAUCGGUGAAACAGAGAGAAGCUUGCUUCAGGAAGUUUCUUGAUUCUCUUAGUGGCGGACGGGUGAGUAACGCGUGGGCAAUCUGCCUUUUACAGGGGGAUAACACAGGGAAACCUGUGCUAAUACCGCAUAAGACCACGGUAUGGCAUCAUACAGAGGUCAAAGGAGCAAUCCGGUAAAAG
This 241-nucleotide ribosomal RNA is filed under the name uncultured bacterium. RNAcentral describes it as "partial 16S ribosomal RNA". It matches the Rfam family "Bacterial small subunit ribosomal RNA", at positions 15 to 224 of the family's 1533-position model. The record is from RNAcentral.